UGGAGCAAAACUCAAAAAAUGGUCUCAGUUCGGACUGCAGGCUGCAACCCGCCUGCACGAAGUUGGAAUUGCUAGUAAUCGUGGAUCAGCAUGCCACGGUGAAUACGUUCCCGGGUCUUGUACACACCGCCCGUCACACCAUGGGAGUCGGUAACACCCGAAGUCAGUAGUCCAACCUCGUGAGGACGCUGCCGAAGGUAGGAUUGGCGACUGGGGUGAAGUCGUAACAAGGUAAC
RNAcentral lists this ribosomal RNA (236 nucleotides) under uncultured bacterium. RNAcentral describes it as "partial 16S ribosomal RNA". It matches the Rfam family "Bacterial small subunit ribosomal RNA", at positions 1263 to 1500 of the family's 1533-position model. The record is from RNAcentral.